GGCUGUAGUGGCAGCGCUGGGGCUGAGGAGCGCUGGUCCGAGUACAGAGCGAUACAGAGCAAGACUGGCUGGAGGCUGUGGCUUCGGAAGCCGGCGUGGGCACAGGUCUGGGUCUCUCUGCAUGAAGGAAGAUGACAGCCGGGAGGGGAGCUGCCACGGAGACAAGCACUCACAGGAGCUGUGAGGAGCGGCUGGCAGAGAGGCGUUUGUGGUGAUUUAUAGGAGCCAAGGGCUGCAGAGAGGGAUGUGGAUGCUAUCAGCUCGGUGGAUUAAAUGCCCAUUUACAUUGUUAUUGAUAUAUAAAUUAUCCGUACCAAGCAGACAGUGAGGAAAAGGAUUCCUUGGGCAGGAAUGGGGCACAUACCCCAGGAUAUGGACUCUUCUUUACCCAAAUAUAUCCAUGGGGCUCUUGUAAAGUGAGUUGCUACCCUGAAGUUGAAACCCUGGGCCUCAUCCUCAACAUGUCAGCGACAGCCUCUUUCAUCCCCAAGGCAUCCGUGGCUAGCCAGGUUCCCAAGUGGCUUUCAAGACGAUGGCAAGAUCUCUGAAGAGAUAGCACGAUCUCCUUUCUGGUGGGACCUCCUCGGGUUGUGUGCACAGGUCGCCGUUGUGUGGGGCACUUGGUUCUGCUGUGGAUUUAAACUAUCACCGAGGAAGAUUUUAUGUCUGGGAAAUGGAAUCGAUUUCUGAGUCAAGUCAACAGCAGAGGAGAAAGCCAGUCACUCACGGCCUGGAAGAUCAAAAGAGGGAACCUGACAAGGUGGGCAGCACUAUUCCCUUUUACAGGCGAGGACACAGAGGGUGUCUAACCCAAGCCCAAGGUCAUAAAAGCUAACAUUGGAAUCUGUUCAUCCAGGAACUUCUGUGAACAAACAGACAAACAGAAGUUUUGCUUCCCUCAGUGCUUCUAGGAUACCACGUGGCAAGCCUGGAGCCCAGUGCUAUGUAGGCAGAUGAUGCUGUUGUUGCUUCUGGUGUUCCCACCAUUCUCCAUGGUUCUCCAUCCCCAGAUGGUCUGUCUCCUGCUAUGAGUUUAUUUUAAUGUUGCUCU
This is a long non-coding RNA of Mus caroli (Ryukyu mouse), 1051 nucleotides long. RefSeq lists it as uncharacterized. Lineage: Eukaryota; Metazoa; Chordata; Mammalia; Rodentia; Muridae. The record is from RefSeq and is a predicted model, not a curated record.